GUCCUUGUAGUUCAAUGGAUAGAAUAGAAGUUUCCUAAACUUUUGAUCCGGGUUCGAUUCCCGGCGAGGAUA
RNAcentral lists this transfer RNA (72 nucleotides) under Dysgonamonadaceae bacterium. RNAcentral's name for it is "tRNA-Arg". It matches the Rfam family "tRNA". Rfam says of the family: Transfer RNA (tRNA) molecules are approximately 80 nucleotides in length. Their secondary structure includes four short double-helical elements and three loops (D, anti-codon, and T loops). Further hydrogen bonds mediate the characteristic L-shaped molecular structure. tRNAs have two regions of fundamental functional importance: the anti-codon, which is responsible for specific mRNA codon recognition, and the 3' end, to which the tRNAs corresponding amino acid is attached (by aminoacyl-tRNA synthetases). tRNAs cope with the degeneracy of the genetic code in two manners: having more than one tRNA (with a specific anti-codon) for a particular amino acid; and 'wobble' base-pairing, i.e. permitting non-standard base-pairing at the 3rd anti-codon position. Lineage: Bacteria; Pseudomonadati; Bacteroidota; Bacteroidia; Bacteroidales; Dysgonomonadaceae. The record is from RNAcentral.